AGAAUCAACGCUGGCGGCGUGCCUAACACAUGCAAGUCGAACGCGAAAGCCCCGCAAGGGGUGAGUAGAGUGGCAAACGGGUGAGUAACACGUGGGUGACCUGCCUUCGAGUGGGGGAUAACGUCCCGAAAGGGACGCUAAUACCGCAUAACAUGCUGCCUUUUAAGAGGUGGACAUCAAAGCUGGGGACCGCAAGGCCUGGCGUUUGAAGAGGGGCCCGCGCCUGAUUAGCUAGUUGGUGGGUAAUGGCUCACCAAGGCAUCGAUCAGUA
Molecule: ribosomal RNA, 271 nt
Filed under: uncultured soil bacterium
Lineage: Bacteria
Description: partial 16S ribosomal RNA
Rfam family: Bacterial small subunit ribosomal RNA
Source: RNAcentral